GUAGGUGGCAAGCGUUGUCCGGAAUUAUUGGGCGUAAAGCGCGCGCAGGCGGUCCUUUAAGUCUGAUGUGAAAGCUCACGGCUCAACCGUGGAGGGUCAUUGGAAACUGGGGGACUUGAGUACAGAAGAGGAAAGCGGAAUUCCAAGUGUAGCGGUGAAAUGCGUAGAGAUUUGGAGGAACACCAGUGGCGAAGGCGGCUUUCUGGUCUGUAACUGACGCUGAGGCGCGAAAGCGUGGGGAGCAAACAGGGAUUAGAUACCCUGGUAGUCCACGCCGUAAACGAUGAGUGCUAAGUGUUAGGGGGUUUCCGCCCCCUUAGUGCUGCAGCUAACGCAUUAAGCACUCCGCCUGGGGAGUACGGCCGCAAGGCUG
Molecule: ribosomal RNA, 373 nt
Filed under: uncultured organism
Description: partial 16S ribosomal RNA
Rfam family: Bacterial small subunit ribosomal RNA
Source: RNAcentral